This 253-nucleotide ribosomal RNA is filed under the name uncultured bacterium. Its description in RNAcentral is "partial 16S ribosomal RNA". It matches the Rfam family "Bacterial small subunit ribosomal RNA", at positions 524 to 776 of the family's 1533-position model. The record is from RNAcentral.
UACGAAGGGUGCAAGCGUUACUCGGAAUUACUGGGCGUAAAGCGUGUGUAGGCGGUUUGUUAAGUCCGUUGUGAAAGCCCUGGGCUCAACCUGGGAAUUGCAGUGGAUACUGGCGAGCUAGAGUGCGGUAGAGGAUGGUGGAAUUCCCGGUGUAGCGGUGAAAUGCGUAGAGAUCGGGAGGAACACCCGUGGCGAAGGCGGCCAUCUGGACCAGCACUGACGCUGAGGCACGAAAGCGUGGGGAGCAAACAGG